CCUUACCCCUAUACCCCUCUCUAAAGGGAUGGUAAAAAAAUUCUGACUUCGAUCAAUGGCGAUGUUUGAUCGUUUUCUAUGCAUUCUCGAGAUUUUUUUUUUUCUAGCUUUUCAUCUGUUCAGAUUCCAAAUUUUUUACAAGAACUACUUAACAAGUUGAGACUGUAGCUUUUGGUGGCCGAGAUAGGCGUCAACUAUGAGUUCUAGGAAGAAAACUCUCCCUUUCCAGGGCGCUGUAGCCACGUUCUGGGCUGAUAAUUGUCGAGAAGAAGAGGAGUAUUUUGGAGGAUUGGUAAUCAUCUCUAGGUCCCUCUUCUUUUCCUCCUCGAGAUUGAAUCACGACAUACCCAAUACGGAAGUAACGGAACAAGCUUCAUAUCAUUAAUAGUUCAUAUCAAAGCAGCACCAUUUGAUUUCAUUCAUUUGUCAUUUUAUCUCUUAGGUCAUUUCUGUCUCAUAUCCUCUCACCUUUCUACAAACUCUUUGGAUACAUGCUGAAAUAUCGAUUGACAUUGUGUUCCUUUUUCUAUUGAUAGUAAUAAAAAAUUAAUUUCAAACUGUCA
Long non-coding RNA from Macadamia integrifolia, 563 nucleotides. RefSeq lists it as uncharacterized. The record is from RefSeq and is a predicted model, not a curated record. NCBI's taxonomy places the organism in Eukaryota, Viridiplantae, Streptophyta, Magnoliopsida, Proteales, Proteaceae. The transcript is spliced from 2 exons.